UUUCAAGAUCCUUGGGGAAGCUAUUGUCCAGCAAUGCACGACUUGGCUGAUAACUUAUUUCGUAGGCCUGUAGUUGACUUAGUUCAGAUAUGUUUGCCAUGAGGCUAGUUUGACAGACCGUAAGCGAACUGCCAAAACACGAGCUGUUAUUAAAAAAAUACUAGUUCAUGGAAUAGAGCUUCAGAGCAACAGCCUACUGCCCCGCUCGUGUAAAUUCGCCUUUCAGCACACAGUUUCGUUCGUAGCGUAGGUGCGAUGCACAAUCGUUCACUGAUUACGCGACCUUACUCCCGAUUGUGCGGGAUCAAAGCGAUCGCUCACAAAGGGUUAUAAAAUGUCGCGUCAACUACGGGCUGUUCGAUUAAUUACACCCGUAAUCAUUGAUGUUUGAGAACUCUUUGUGUAAACAAAAUUUAGGUUUGUAACAUCUGCUGUAAAGCUGUGAUUACUAGAUUAAUUAUGUUUGGUAAUACCUAUUACCUAAUAACAUAAGGUCGUUCAAGAAUUGUUUCACUUCAGUAUAAAUAUCGCGCCAGUUCUUAUGAAUCAACCUAUACAUAAGUUUAAACAACGAGGUGAAUUUAAUUAACACAACACCACCAACAGUACAAUAUUACAAUUUUUUAUUUUUCACUUUACCAUUAAACGAUGACAUCUGAUAUUUUAUUGUAGGUGCUUUACUUCAAUAUUUAAUUUUUAAUAUACAUAUAGAGCAACAUACUUGUAACUUUAUAUGUUAAUAAUAUAACCCCGUUUUAGUACUCGGCAAGUCUAGUCGGACUAGUGUCCAAAAGCGUUAUUUACAACCUCUCACUAAUGCAGGCGAGCCGAGCGUUUAGGAAACCAAUGUUAUCUCCGAUUAUUAAGAGUAGUUGCGGAUCUCGAAGUCGGAAUUACACGAACCACAGGAGGGCUAGCGAUGUCGCGUGCGAGAUUUAUCUACUUUUUUGGCACUGCACUGUGACUAGAUAGUUUUUCGCCUGCGAGACAUUCCAAUACAUCACAGAUUGUCGUUAAAUCACUCAUUUGUGAUCAUUUUACAUCACUACUCGUAUAGUUCCUUAUAAGUAAAGAAACGUUGUCGUGGUGUUGAUGUCGGUGGUCAAUCGUAAGAUCAGGUAGAUUGUGGAAUUUCUAGACAUAUCGAAAACCUUAUAAUCUUUGUCUCGUUCCCUGAGUCAACGGAGCCCCGCGGAUAUGUCUGGGCAAUAUGCCCUUCGGGCAUCUGAAGUAACCUAACGAACCUAUCUCGUGGAAAGAACAUUCUUUUUUUCAAUUCUGUUAUGUAUGUAAAAGGGUCGUUCGUAAGUGUAUGCAAACGGUGGCUGCGUCCACCGUCAUUCUCGGAAAUAUAUUAGUUCGUAAAUUGCUGCCUUGCGUUUGACUUUGCUCCCCGUUCCAAUAUUUAUCCAAUUCUCUUCAGAGAAUUUUCAAAAAUGGAAAAUUCCUCUAAUUUUGUUGUAAUUUUCUACAACUUUCCAAACUUUUUAGAAAUUUUCUGCAACUUGCAUAUCUGUUCAUUAAGGGUUCGACUCGCCCAUGCUCAGUAAGUAACGGCCUGUCCAGUCCACCGCUGCCAAUUGCCCAAGCACACAUGGCGCGCAUAGCUAUAUUAACGGGUAAUUAAAGUCAAUGCGAUUCGGUGCGCGUGCGUUGGAAAGUGAGUGGCCAGUUUGAAUAUGGAACUUGGAACGCAAUCGUUGUCUAACUUAGGCAUCGGUUUGUUGAGGUUGUCUACGAGGCUUACAAGUGUAUACGAUAUAUUGACUGUAAGUUCGCUGCGCGCAAAUGGGCUAUAUUGACUUUAGUAUAAAUUAGUUGAUUGCUGAUAUGCUCUUUAGAGAUAUUUAGUAUUCAUGGGAGAAUUCGAUGUGUUUCUGAUAAUUUAGAUAUAAGCCUUACCAUUUCGGGUAAAAUUGUGUGAGGACAGGUCGAUUAAAGUGUUAACGGAUUGGUUUUCGAAUGGACGAAACGCCUGGUGUCCGUUAUAUAGCUUGAAUGGAUGGGUGUAGGUUAGGUUAGUUAGGUUAGGACUGCGACCAUGUUGCAUACUCAAAGUGAGGUUAUUUAUUACUUAGCAGUGAGCGACAUAAUACGAUUUGCCGAUAUGCUUAAAUCCGCACGUUCCAAUUAGGAACGUAGUAUUUUUUCAUUUAAAAAUAAAAUCAGCAAUUAAAAUAUAAUACUAAAUAUGUGUGCGUAUUUUAAAGGAGAGAAAUCGUAACAAAACAUCAGCAUGAAUCACGAGGAUACCUGUAAUUUACAGCCGAAACGGGUAUUUAUCGGGUUAUGAACCUGUCGAAAACGUUUUGUUACGAAAUCCGAUAGAGUAUCGAAGCGUAUCGUAUUAAUUACACUUAUUUGCACUAAUUAAAGCAUUUUAGCGGGAGAUAUAGCCCGGUACUCGCAUGGCCAAACUCAAACGCAUUCUUGCUUUAUACGAUUGCGUCGAGUAGGUCCGAACAUGCACACAUAUUUAAAUGCCACUAUGCGCACACAAACUACCGAUGGACAUGGAUUUAUGUAGUACAAAAUUUGCAUUACGUGCAAUACGAUGUUUCCGUUGACACGCGAACGAUGUACUGGAUGGAUGGACGUCAUUUACCUAUGCAUGUUUACAUACAGCACGUACAACAAAUGGCGUAAAAAAAUCCUUAAGCCGUUGUAAGACAAUAAUUAUCGCAUUCAUUAAAAUAAUGGGAAGUUUCCUUAUUAUUAAUGAGCGUGAAAAUGUAUUUCAUAAUGCGCUUAACCGAUACAUUACCGUGCGUUAAACCGAUGUUGUUACUCGUAUUUAAUGCCUUAAUUAUAAUAUCGGCCCGAUUCGAAGAAUGAGAUACGAUAACGAUAAGUUCUGGUUCAGAUAAGUUCUCAUUUAGAUAUCGUUUGUAUGUCGUAUAAUUGAGAGAAGCAGCUCGAUUCGGGCAACCAAUGUCACUUUGACAUUAGAAAAAUCGUUGGUAAAUCUUAUUGGGAUCACAGCGGAAUCGAAAUAAACGUCAAUUUUGACAUGUCGUUUAGUUAUCGAUCUUUUAAAGAUCUUAAAAGUGUCUUAAUCAUUAUUUGAAUCGGGCCGUAUGUUAAUUAUCAUUUGAUUCUGGUUGAAUUUAGCUUUGGUCUGUAUUAUGUUAUUAAUAUUAAUUAAAUAUCAAUCUACUACCGAUAUUCAAAUGUAGGAUUCAUCGGGGAAAGCGUGUUAGCCAUGCGGAUACAAUAUAGAUGGUAUCUGAAUUGGAUACGAUUAUUAUAGUCUCCAUUAGUCUGACGUGUGCUGUCAACGCGAUGUACCUCAAUGCUGGUGCCGUUGCGGCACAGACUGCUUCCCACAGACUCUACUCCACAGACUCCAAUAAUUUGCGGUCACCAACUCAACACACCUCUUUUACACACCACUUAUUUGUACCUGUACAAUUUUAUACGGCAACAUGUAUGUUUUCUUCUAGAAUAAUUGUUGGUCGAUUUAUUUAAUAUAGAUAUGAGGGCGCAACUGACUGAAAUGACCAAUUGCGCACUCAUAACUGAAUUGGAGCGCUAAUAUGUGGAUUAGGUUCUGAUCGUGAUUUUUCGUAUAUGUUCCAUCUAGUUGGGACGUUAUCUGUGCGAUACGAGCAAAUUAAGCCGCAUGUGUUUGCCUUCCACCUAUCAACAACAAACGUUCACUUUUAUGUGAAAGGUCUUCAUUAUGUUUCGGCGCUUUGGUAGUUACGAACCGCCCCACACACACAACUAUAGUGUCGUUUAUUGAUUAACAUCAAAGAACCAAGUUAGUUGAGCAACUAUGCCGUGUACGCCUCUGCGAAAAUUUGCUCGCAAGCGAAACUCAUAUAGGUAAGUGCUGUUAACUAAACAUAUUAGAAAUUAGUUGCGUUAUUUACCCUAAUCGACCUGAACGCUAAGUUUCACUAUCACUUUGAUGGUUCCAAGGUUUUGCUUGCCGCUGUAAAAUUGAAUUUCAACUUUGGGCACAUGCUAACCGCUUUACAUGAUUGUAUGGGGGCUCCUUAAUCAGCAAACUAAAAAGAGAUUCAUUGGAAUUAAUGGAAACUAAUUGGGUUUGUUUUAGACUCAAAACAUGUUCCCUUAUUUGUUUGUUCCUUCAAACACAUUCAGACUAUUCAAAAUCGCUCUGUAGCGUCAAUAUAGGCUUUGCGUAACCCGAGAUCCUAAGUUAAUUUCUCAUCGGAAGCAAUGUGAUGCCUAUGAAAGCUGUUUAUUUCACGGAUUACCAAAACGCCUGCGGAAUCAAUUAUUCGGGUUCCCGUGUCAGUCGAGUUAAAACCGUUACAUCGUCAGGCUGAAGUAUUUCAAUUUCGGGGCCGUCGUUUAAACUAAUAUCUACCUAUCACACACGCAACACGACGGAGUUAACUUUGACAUCACUCGGUUCAUCACGAGUUUAAAUUGAAUUGGUUAUAUACACUUUACUUCCACACGUGUUGCGCGAAAUUAAAUAAAGGGUGGCACAGCCGUCAACGUUCGCACAACUUUACGAUUCGAUUGUAUUGUAAUAAAAUGAACAACAUUUUGCGCGGCGAUAGUAAGAUAUUACUGCUCUCUUUGGGAAGUGCUCGUAAAACGUAUCAAUCUUUCUUGUACCGAUCAUUUGUAAAGCGGAAAAAAACUA
Long non-coding RNA from Cydia pomonella (codling moth), 4624 nucleotides. RefSeq lists it as uncharacterized. NCBI's taxonomy places the organism in Eukaryota, Metazoa, Arthropoda, Insecta, Lepidoptera, Tortricidae. The record is from RefSeq and is a predicted model, not a curated record. The transcript is spliced from 2 exons.